This 230-nucleotide long non-coding RNA is filed under the name Lathyrus oleraceus (garden pea). Its description in RNAcentral is "Pisum sativum (pea) long non-coding RNA (PSAT_LNC006438)". The record is from RNAcentral. Lineage: Eukaryota; Viridiplantae; Streptophyta; Magnoliopsida; Fabales; Fabaceae.
UCUCUUUUCUUUUUAUUACUAUUGUUUUAUCAUUCUUUUCUUUUUCUUUUUCAUUUUCAUUAUUUUAUUUUUCUUUCUAUUUUCUUUCCUGAUAAUUUAUUCUCUUAUUUCUUUUUAUCUUCUCUCACAUUAUUAGGAUUUAAUGGCACAAGAUUAACUUUUGACCAUGAUGCAUAAAAAAAUAUUUACUGGAAUAACCAUCAUGAUUGACUUUUCUAUCUAAUUGUCAC